This 253-nucleotide ribosomal RNA is filed under the name uncultured bacterium. RNAcentral's name for it is "partial 16S ribosomal RNA". It matches the Rfam family "Bacterial small subunit ribosomal RNA", at positions 524 to 776 of the family's 1533-position model. The record is from RNAcentral.
UACGUAGGCAGCAAGCGUUGUUCGGAAUUACUGGGCGUAAAGAGUGUGUAGGCGGUGCUCCAAGUCUGGUGUGAAAUCUCCCGGCUUAACUGGGAGGGUGCAUUAGAAACUGGAAUGCUAGAGGAUGGGAGAGGUAAGCGGAAUUCCUGGUGUAGCGGUGAAAUGCGUAGAUAUCAGGAGGAACACCUGUGGUGUAGACAGCUUACUGGGCCAUUUCUGACGCUGAGACACGAAAGCGUGGGUAGCAAACAGG